UGAGUAACCUGCCCUUAACUCUGGGAUAAGCCUGGGAAACUGGGUCUAAUACCGGAUAUGACUCCUCAUCGCAUGGUGGGGGGUGGAAAGCUUUUUGUGGUUUUGGAUGGACUCGCGGCCUAUCAGCUUGUUGGUGAGGUAAUGGCUCAUCAAGGCGACGACGGGUAGCCGGCCUGAGAGGGUGACCGGCCACACUGGGACUGAGACACGGCCCAGACUCCGUACGGGAGCAG
RNAcentral lists this ribosomal RNA (233 nucleotides) under uncultured bacterium. Its description in RNAcentral is "partial 16S ribosomal RNA". It matches the Rfam family "Bacterial small subunit ribosomal RNA", at positions 118 to 347 of the family's 1533-position model. The record is from RNAcentral.